This 330-nucleotide unclassified non-coding RNA is filed under the name soil metagenome. RNAcentral describes it as "partial contains 5.8S ribosomal RNA, internal transcribed spacer 2, and large subunit ribosomal RNA". The stretch from base 1 to 120 matches the Rfam family "5.8S ribosomal RNA", at positions 35 to 154 of the family's 154-position model. The record is from RNAcentral.
GAUGAAGAACGUAGCGAAAUGCGAUACGUAAUGUGAAUUGCAGAUUUCAGUGAAUCAUCGAAUCUUUGAACGCACAUUGCGCCCGCCAGUAUUCUGGCGGGCAUGCCUGUUCGAGCGUCAUUUCAACCAUCAAGCGCCUCGCUUGUGUUGGGGCCCUGCGGCUGCCGCAGGCCCCUAAAUCCAGUGGCGGGCUCGUCGUCGUACCGAGUGCAGUAAACAUCCUCGCUCAGGGAACCCGACGGGUGCCGGCCGUGAAACCCCCCCUCCUCAAGGUUGACCUCGGAUCAGGUAGGAAUACCCGCUGAACUUAAGCAUAUCAAUAAGCGAGGA